This 261-nucleotide ribosomal RNA is filed under the name Alishewanella sp. DN15. RNAcentral's name for it is "partial 16S ribosomal RNA". It matches the Rfam family "Bacterial small subunit ribosomal RNA", at positions 583 to 843 of the family's 1533-position model. The record is from RNAcentral. Lineage: Bacteria; Pseudomonadati; Pseudomonadota; Gammaproteobacteria; Alteromonadales; Alteromonadaceae.
UUAAGUCGGAUGUGAAAGCCCCGGGCUCAACCUGGGAAUUGCAUCCGAUACUGAAAAGCUAGAGUACGUGAGAGGGGGGUAGAAUUCCAAGUGUAGCGGUGAAAUGCGUAGAGAUUUGGAGGAAUACCAGUGGCGAAGGCGGCCCCCUGGCACGAUACUGACGCUCAGGUGCGAAAGCGUGGGGAGCAAACAGGAUUAGAUACCCUGGUAGUCCACGCCGUAACCGAUGUCUACUAGAUGUUCGAGGUCUUGUACUUUGAG